RNAcentral lists this long non-coding RNA (1068 nucleotides) under Felis catus (domestic cat). RNAcentral describes it as "lncRNA (ENSFCAG00000050955.1)". The record is from RNAcentral. Lineage: Eukaryota; Metazoa; Chordata; Mammalia; Carnivora; Felidae.
GGGAGGGGCAGAGAGAGAGGGAGGCCCAGAAUCCAAGGCAGGCUCCGGGCUCCGAGCUGUCAGCACAGAGCCUGACACGGGGCUCAAGCUCAUAGAACAGGAGAUCGUGACCUGAGCCAAGGUCAGAUGCUCAGUUGACUAAGCCACCCAGGUGCCCCAAAUCUUCUUCUUUUUUUUUUUAAUGUUUAUUUAUUUUUAAGACAGAGACAAAGAGCCAAAUGAGGAGGGGCAGACAGAGAGAGAGGAAGACAGAGGAUCCAAGGCGGGUUCCAGGCUCUGAGCGGUCAGCACAGAGCCUUAUGUGGGGCUCGAACUUGUCAACCACGAGAUCAUGACCUGAGCCAAAGUCCAACGCUCAACCGACUGAGCCGCCCAGGUGCCCCCUGAAUCUUCAUAUUUUAAAUGUAUCUUUGUACAUGUUGGAUGCACAAAGGCCAAAAGAACAGGGACUUCACUGUGACAGAGCUGUAUUUCUCUCUCUCCCCUCAUGGUUUAAACAGUCCAGGCGGACGUGGGGCCUUCGUGAUGUCAUGAACCAGGGUGCAUCUUGUCCUACCGACCUCCGUUCAUGGCUUCCAUCCACGAUGUCAGAUGGCUCACGCGUCUCACCACUGCCUCCAUACUCCGGCCGGCAGAACGGAGAAGGAAUUUUAAAGCAUCAUUACAUGUUUAGAAAAGACAAGACACCUCACAGAGUGAAUAUACAAUGCCGUGUGGGCCGGAUUUCCGAUCAUUCACUUCGAAUCAACUCCACAUACAACUUUCUGCUGCAGAUCAAGACAAGGAUCAGUCAUACGGAAACGUGAAAUGGUAUUGUCUUCGAAAACUCAUCGCAACGUUUCUCGGGGCGCCUGGGUGGCUCAAUCGGUUAAGCGUCCGACUUCAGCUCAGGUCACGAUCUCAUGGUCCGUGAGUUCGAGCCCCGCGUGGGGCUCUGGGCUGAUGGCUCAGAGGCUGGAGCCUGCUUCCGAUUCUGUGUCUCCCUCUCUCCCUGCCCCUCCCCAUUCAUGCUCUGUCUCUCUCUGUCUCAAAAAUAAAUGAAAACGUUAAAAAAAUUUUUAAGAAAAC